CUAAGAAUAUUCCGCAAUGGACGAAAGUCUGACGGAGCGACGCCGCGUGGAUGAAGAAGGCCGAAAGGUUGUAAAAUUCUUUUGUCGGGGAAGAAUAACCAUGGGAGGGAAUGCCCGUGGGAUGACAUGAACCGGCGAAUAAGCCCCGGCUAACUACGUGCCAGCAGCCGCGGUAACACGUAGGGGGCGAGCGUUGUUCGGAAUUACUGGGCGUAAAGGGCAUGUAGGCGGUUUUGUAAGACUGGCGUGAAAGGCUGCAGCUUAACUGUAGCAUGGCGCUGGUAACUACAAGACUUGAGUCACGGAGAGGGAGCUAGAAUUCCAGGUGUAGGGGUGAAAUCUGUAGAUAUCUGGAAGAAUACCAGUGGCGAAGGCGAGCUUCUGGCCGAUGACUGACGCUGAGGUGCGAAAGCGUGGGUAGCAAACAG
Molecule: ribosomal RNA, 428 nt
Filed under: uncultured bacterium
Lineage: Bacteria
Description: bacterial SSU rRNA
Rfam family: Bacterial small subunit ribosomal RNA
Source: RNAcentral